This 253-nucleotide ribosomal RNA is filed under the name uncultured bacterium. Its description in RNAcentral is "partial 16S ribosomal RNA". It matches the Rfam family "Bacterial small subunit ribosomal RNA", at positions 524 to 776 of the family's 1533-position model. The record is from RNAcentral.
UACGUAGGGUGCGAGCGUUAAUCGGAAUUACUGGGCGUAAAGCGUGCGCAGGCGGUGAUGUAAGACAGUUGUGAAAUCCCCGGGCUCAACCUGGGAACUGCAUCUGUGACUGCAUCGCUGGAGUGCGGCAGAGGGGGAUGGAAUUCCGCGUGUAGCAGUGAAAUGCGUAGAUAUGCGGAGGAACACCGAUGGCGAAGGCAAUCCCCUGGGCCUGCACUGACGCUCAUGCACGAAAGCGCGGGGAGCAAACAGG